CUCGAGGGGAGGAGGACGGGACACAACACGGGAAAGGAUUGUUUGGUUCUAGGUUCAAUCUUGAUUACAAUACGAUGCACCAAAUUCAUUGCUACAUCCUAGGAAAUAUAGAUGAAAUCAGUCCGUUGCGAAGGUUUUUUCACAUCAAUUUAACAAUACUUGUAUGCGUAUCCGACCUGUGUUGAAUAUCUUCGACUUUUAUUUUUGCACUGUAGGAUUCACCUUGAUACUAUUAGGUCAUGUCGAACUCGCGCACCCCCACGUGAGGUGCACCAGCAGCACAACGAACAAUUUGCGUCUUGGUUUCAAUCAUAUGUGAGUACCGCCUACAUCGUCCGUACGUGGUAUCUUGACUACACUCCCAAAAAACAUUGAAAUCACGAGUGUUCAUGAACUACUUUACAUCAAAUGUAGGUAGAUGAUCCGACGAAUAAUGAUGAGUGCCCAAUCUCAGCGGAGAUCCGUGCAUUGGCGGGUGGACCAUUAUGCAAUGCAACACGGUACUCUUCGUGCAUUGUGUCAGGAAUACGCUAUCGUGUUCAAGACCGGGAUGCAAGGAAGAGGACACAGUGUGCAGGUGUUAUGGUUACGGCAGAUACAGUGAGUUAUGCCUCAGCUAGGGACCAUAACCCACGAGAAGGUUCCGUGGCAUAUUACGGGAUUCUUACGGACAUUGUGGAAGUGUACUAUAGCAAUCAACAGAAGUAUCUCCUUUUAAAAUGUGACUGGGUGGAUCUGGAGAGGGGCGUUAAAGAGGAUGAGUUCAAAUAUAAAUGUGUGAACUUUAAGUAUUUGAUGUACCCCAAGAACUUGCCCACGGAUGAGCCUUUCAUCUUAGCGACCCAAGCCUCUCAGGUGUGGUACAUUGCAGACCCGGUUGAUGAAGGUUGGAGCGUUGUCGUUCCGGUGUCACGGCGAGACACGUAUGACGUGUAUAGUACGAUCGAUCAUAGAUUCAGCACAGGGUUACCUUUAGAUGACGGAGGCAAUGUUAGAGGAGCAGCCGAUUACUGGCUAAGGGAAGGUAUUGAGGGGCAAGUAGUAGAAGAUGCAGGGCAGAUGGACCAUGCCGAUACUUCGCCUUCGGAUUCGGAGGAAUCCUCCGAAGAUGAUGGUGCUUAGCGCAGAAUCAAAUAAGCGGGCAUUUUUGGUAGUAUGCGAAUAUAGCCUAAUUGGCCCAUUUUUGAUGGUUUGGCAACCACGCAACCUUUUUGAGUUCGCAGUUCAGAAUAAAUUACACAUCUCAACAGAUGGUCAUCUAUGUGGGGAGGGGGGGUCGGUGAUUGAAGUACGUAAUAGGAUGUUAUGAUUUUUUCCGAAUAUGUCAACGCGGAUAAGCUCUUUA
Andrographis paniculata is the source of this 1345-nucleotide RNA transcript. RefSeq lists it as uncharacterized. The transcript is spliced from 2 exons. The record is from RefSeq and is a predicted model, not a curated record. Lineage: Eukaryota; Viridiplantae; Streptophyta; Magnoliopsida; Lamiales; Acanthaceae.